UAUAUAUAUAUAUACACACACACACACACACACAUAUAUAUAUAUAUUUCCCCUACAUAACAGUUUAUUUAAAAAUAUAUGUAAAGUUAUAGUUACAACUGGGCGGUCAACUAUUGUUUAUUUUGACGCGAUCUCCACGGUAACAGCAGCUUUUCUGGUUGGUGGAUGAGGUUCACGUGAUGCGUCGGUUGAAAUUUCUCCCACUGAAGGGUGAAGACGUCUGUCGGACAACCGCUGUUCUAGCUGCUGUGAGGAAAAAAUUGUCUGACACCACCCCAGACAGCAACAUAGUGUGGCCCAGAUCCGGCCCACAUCUGGUACAUGUGGUUUACACGCGGACCAGAUGUGGGCCAGAUCUGGCCCGACACUAUGUUGCUGUCAGGGACAAGACUAAUAGUCUGCUGGAAUAAGGAGAGAGCACUUGUGGGAAAUUAGGGGCUGCAGAGCUGUACUUCACUUCCUGAGGACAGUCCUAAAUAGGAUCACGUUCUCCCUCACACAUACAAACAUUCUGAUGUGUAAAUUUGUUUUAAGUAUUUUUUUUUAAUUUGCUCUAUAUUUGUUGAGAGUAAAAUUACAUUAUAAUAUCUUUACAUUUCAGUGCUAGAUUCAUUCAUAUAUUCAUGAGGUGGUAAUAAGAUAUGCUUUGAUUGUACUAAAUAAAAUAGCCUUCACACAGUUACACAAUUCUGAAUGUGGUUAUUAUUAUUAUUAUUAUUGGCUUGUGCAAUAUUGUUAAAUAAACUAAUUUUGAGAAUU
Molecule: long non-coding RNA, 759 nt
Organism: Megalobrama amblycephala (Wuchang bream)
Lineage: Eukaryota; Metazoa; Chordata; Actinopteri; Cypriniformes; Xenocyprididae
Exons: 2
Source: RefSeq, a predicted model, not a curated record